AGCGAACGCUGGCGGCAGGCUUAACACAUGCAAGUCGAGCGGGCAUAGCAAUAUGUCAGCGGCAGACGGGUGAGUAACGCGUGGGAACGUACCUUUUGGUUCGGAACAACACAGGGAAACUUGUGCUAAUACCGGAUAAGCCCUUACGGGGAAAGAUUUAUCGCCGAAAGAUCGGCCCGCGUCUGAUUAGCUAGUUGGUGAGGUAAUGGCUCACCAAGGCGACGAUCAGUAGCUGGUCUGAGAGGAUGAUCAGCCACAUUGGGACUGAGACACGGCCCAAACUCCUACGGGAGGCAGCAGUGGGGAAUAUUGGACAAUGGGCGCAAGCCUGAUCCAGCCAUGCCGCGUGAGUGAUGAAGGCCCUAGGGUUGUAAAGCUCUUUUGUGCGGGAAGAUAAGGAACGGUACCGCAAGAAUAAGCCCCG
RNAcentral lists this ribosomal RNA (424 nucleotides) under Bradyrhizobiaceae bacterium Ellin7042. RNAcentral describes it as "bacterial SSU rRNA". It matches the Rfam family "Bacterial small subunit ribosomal RNA", at positions 29 to 495 of the family's 1533-position model. Lineage: Bacteria; Pseudomonadati; Pseudomonadota; Alphaproteobacteria; Hyphomicrobiales; Nitrobacteraceae. The record is from RNAcentral.